Carya illinoinensis is the source of this 1129-nucleotide long non-coding RNA. RefSeq lists it as uncharacterized. The record is from RefSeq and is a predicted model, not a curated record. NCBI's taxonomy places the organism in Eukaryota, Viridiplantae, Streptophyta, Magnoliopsida, Fagales, Juglandaceae. The transcript has 3 exons.
UUUUUGUUUUUUUAUUUGUUUACAAUGUUCCUCCAUAUUUGCAAACCCUGUGUCUGUAGAGAGAAAGAAACACAACAACUCAGAGAGAGAGGUACUUCAAUGAAAACAACAAGAGAUCAUGGCCACAUGAGAUGUUGUCCCCCCGCAACAGCAAGAGGUACAUCAGAUUCCUAUUUUGAGUCCGUCCUCAAUUCAUCUAUGUUUGUUUACUUUCUGAUCUGUUAGUUUUAUGUGAAAUAUACAUUGAUUUUGAUUUCUUUCACAUCAAUGGAUUGAAUCUGCAAUCAGAUUGUAUUUUAUGAUAUGAUUUAGUUUGUUUAAGCUAUUAGCUAAAGAAUUCUUGAGAAAUUCUAUCUCGCGGGUGAGAAGCUCUGUACAGCAAGUUAAAUUUACGUAUAAAACAGAGUCUACAAGUUUAAUUUGCUCAUUCCAUUCUCUAUGCGAGGGAUUGCUGAAAAAAAUUUUGCUCCGGCUGCCGGAGUCUCGACUCUAUAGCAGAGAGAGAGAGAGAGAGAGAGCUUAUUCUUCUGCUUCUUCACACGAUCACAGAUCCUCGUGAUCGUGCUUGAGCAUUUAUAAGAAAUGUGGAGAUCGAGAAGGAACGCAUGACUCGUGGUAGAAUACAUUGGAAUCUUAAAGGAGAUAACAAUCAAGAGGACCAGAAUCUCCCAAUGGAUGGAGGAUUAGCUGAGGUGGUACGUUUGCUGAUCGACGUGCUUAGACAUCAACAACUACGGCGAGUGCACAUACCCAUUAGAGUGUAUGUUGUUACUCAGAGAAACGUAGAUGAUGGGGCCCCAGGAACUACAGGAGCUAGCAUCGUCACUGGUAUUUUAAUAGGAUCUAUGUGUGGUUAAACAUAGUUAAUGUUAAUUUUAUUGUAAUUGAUAGUAGUAUUGCAUUAUUGUUAUUUUGGAGUAUGUCAAGUCAUUAGGGUUGGUAAAUUGUACAUUGUUUUAUUCAAACGAGUCCCUGUUUCUAGUAAUUGUGGUAGAGCAUGAGAACUCAGUUAGGAAUCUGAAUUGUUACCCUGGUGGUAAGAGUAACAAAUCUUAUUAGAAAUAUUAUUGUUCAUACCAAUGCAUAUAUAUAAUACUUCUAAGUGAUGUGAGAAAUGAUAUUUAAGGUU